AGGAUGAACGCUGGCGGCGUGCUUAACACAUGCAAGUCGAACGAUGAUGCCCACUUGUGGGUGGAUUAGUGGCGAACGGGUGAGUAACACGUGAGUAACCUGCCCUUGACUCUGGGAUAAGCCUGGGAAACCGGUCUAAUACUGGACUACGACCUUCCCGCGCACUGCGGUGUUGGUAGGAAAGUCUUUAUUGUGGUUUUGGAUGGACUCGCGGCCUAUCGAGCUUGGUUGGUGGGUAAUGGCCUACCAAGGCGACGACGGGUAGCCGGCCUGAGAGGGU
This 280-nucleotide ribosomal RNA is filed under the name uncultured soil bacterium. RNAcentral's name for it is "partial 16S ribosomal RNA". It matches the Rfam family "Bacterial small subunit ribosomal RNA", at positions 26 to 301 of the family's 1533-position model. The record is from RNAcentral.